UACCCGCAGCACAAGUGGUGGUCAUUAUUAUUGGGCCUAAAGCGUCCGUAGCUGGCCUGUUAGAUGCCUUGGUAAAUCGAUGCGCUCAACGCAUCGAACUCCGGGUAGACCGGCAGGCUUGGGACCGGGAGAGGCGUGAGCUACUCGGGGGGUAGGGGUAAAAUCCUGUAAUCCUCCGGGGAGGACCAGUGGCGAAGGCGUCACGCUAGAACGGCUCCGACAGUGAGGGACGAAGCCCUGGGGCGCAAACCGG
Molecule: ribosomal RNA, 253 nt
Filed under: uncultured bacterium
Lineage: Bacteria
Description: partial 16S ribosomal RNA
Rfam family: Archaeal small subunit ribosomal RNA
Source: RNAcentral